GAUUAAGUUAUUAAGGGCGCACGGUGGAUGCCUUGGCACUAGAAGCCGAUGAAGGACGUUACUAACGACGAUAUGCUUUGGGGAGCUGUAAGUAAGCUUUGAUCCAGAGAUUUCCGAAUGGGGAAACCCAGCAUGAGUUAUGUCAUGUUAUCGAUAUGUGAAUACAUAGCAUAUCAGAAGGCACACCCGGAGAACUGAAACAUCUUAGUACCCGGAGGAAGAAAAAGAAAAUUCGAUUCCCUUAGUAGCGGCGAGCGAAACGGGAAGAGCCCAAACCAACAAGCUUGCUUGUUGGGGUUGUAGGACACUCUAUACGGAGUUACAAAGGACGACAUUAGACGAAUCAUCUGGAAAGAUGAAUCAAAGAAGGUAAUAAUCCUGUAGUCGAAAAUGUUGUCUCUCUUGAGUGGAUCCUGAGUACGACGGAACACGUGAAAUUCCGUCGGAAUCUGGGAGGACCAUCUCCUAAGGCUAAAUACUCUCUAGUGACCGAUAGUGAACCAGUACCGUGAGGGAAAGGUGAAAAGCACCCCGGAAGGGGAGUGAAAUAGAACCUGAAACCGUGUGCUUACAAGUAGUCAGAGCCCGUUAAUGGGUGAUGGCGUGCCUUUUGUAGAAUGAACCGGCGAGUUACGAUUUGAUGCAAGGUUAAGCAGUAAAUGUGGAGCCGUAGCGAAAGCGAGUCUGAAUAGGGCGUUUAGUAUUUGGUCGUAGACCCGAAACCAGGUGAUCUACCCUUGGUCAGGUUGAAGUUCAGGUAACACUGAAUGGAGGACCGAACCGACUUACGUUGAAAAGUGAGCGGAUGAACUGAGGGUAGCGGAGAAAUUCCAAUCGAACCUGGAGAUAGCUGGUUCUCUCCGAAAUAGCUUUAGGGCUAGCCUCAAGUGAUGAUUAUUGGAGGUAGAGCACUGUUUGGACGAGGGGCCCCUCUCGGGUUACCGAAUUCAGACAAACUCCGAAUGCCAAUUAAUUUAACUUGGGAGUCAGAACAUGGGUGAUAAGGUCCGUGUUCGAAAGGGAAACAGCCCAGACCACCAGCUAAGGUCCCAAAAUAUAUGUUAAGUGGAAAAGGAUGUGGCGUUGCCCAGACAACUAGGAUGUUGGCUUAGAAGCAGCCAUCAUUUAAAGAGUGCGUAAUAGCUCACUAGUCGAGUGACACUGCGCCGAAAAUGUACCGGGGCUAAACAUAUUACCGAAGCUGUGGAUUGUCCUUUGGACAAUGGUAGGAGAGCGUUCUAAGGGCGUUGAAGCAUGAUCGUAAGGACAUGUGGAGCGCUUAGAAGUGAGAAUGCCGGUGUGAGUAGCGAAAGACGGGUGAGAAUCCCGUCCACCGAUUGACUAAGGUUUCCAGAGGAAGGCUCGUCCGCUCUGGGUUAGUCGGGUCCUAAGCUGAGGCCGACAGGCGUAGGCGAUGGAUAACAGGUUGAUAUUCCUGUACCACCUAUAAUCGUUUUAAUCGAUGGGGGGACGCAGUAGGAUAGGCGAAGCGUGCGAUUGGAUUGCACGUCUAAGCAGUAAGGCUGAGUAUUAGGCAAAUCCGGUACUCGUUAAGGCUGAGCUAUGAUGGGGAGAAGACAUUGAGUCUUCGAGUCGUUGAUUUCACACUGCCGAGAAAAGCCUCUAGAUAGAAAAUAGGUGCCCGUACCGCAAACCGACACAGGUAGUCAAGAUGAGAAUUCUAAGGUGAGCGAGCGAACUCUCGUUAAGGAACUCGGCAAAAUGACCCCGUAACUUCGGGAGAAGGGGUGCUCUUUAGGGUUAACGCCCAGAAGAGCCGCAGUGAAUAGGCCCAAGCGACUGUUUAUCAAAAACACAGGUCUCUGCUAAACCGUAAGGUGAUGUAUAGGGGCUGACGCCUGCCCGGUGCUGGAAGGUUAAGAGGAGUGGUUAGCUUCUGCGAAGCUACGAAUCGAAGCCCCAGUAAACGGCGGCCGUAACUAUAACGGUCCUAAGGUAGCGAAAUUCCUUGUCGGGUAAGUUCCGACCCGCACGAAAGGCGUAACGAUUUGGGCACUGUCUCAACGAGAGACUCGGUGAAAUCAUAGUACCUGUGAAGAUGCAGGUUACCCGCGACAGGACGGAAAGACCCCGUGGAGCUUUACUGUAGCCUGAUAUUGAAAUUCGGCACAGCUUGUACAGGAUAGGUAGGAGCCUUUGAAACGUGAGCGCUAGCUUACGUGGAGGCGCUGGUGGGAUACUACCCUAGCUGUGUUGGCUUUCUAACCCGCACCACUUAUCGUGGUGGGAGACAGUGUCAGGCGGGCAGUUUGACUGGGGCGGUCGCCUCCUAAAAGGUAACGGAGGCGCUCAAAGGUUCCCUCAGAAUGGUUGGAAAUCAUUCAUAGAGUGUAAAGGCAUAAGGGAGCUUGACUGCGAGACCUACAAGUCGAGCAGGGUCGAAAGACGGACUUAGUGAUCCGGUGGUUCCGCAUGGAAGGGCCAUCGCUCAACGGAUAAAAGCUACCCCGGGGAUAACAGGCUUAUCUCCCCCAAGAGUUCACAUCGACGGGGAGGUUUGGCACCUCGAUGUCGGCUCAUCGCAUCCUGGGGCUGUAGUCGGUCCCAAGGGUUGGGCUGUUCGCCCAUUAAAGCGGUACGCGAGCUGGGUUCAGAACGUCGUGAGACAGUUCGGUCCCUAUCCGUCGUGGGCGUAGGAAAUUUGAGAGGAGCUGUCCUUAGUACGAGAGGACCGGGAUGGACAUACCUCUGGUGUACCAGUUGUCGUGCCAACGGCAUAGCUGGGUAGCUAUGUGUGGACGGGAUAAGUGCUGAAAGCAUCUAAGCAUGAAGCCCCCCUCAAGAUGAGAUUUCCCAACUUCGGUUAUAAGAUCCCUCAAAGAUGAUGAGGUUAAUAGGUUCGAGGUGGAAGCAUGGUGACAUGUGGAGCUGACGAAUACUAAUCGAUCGAAGACUUAAUCAA
RNAcentral lists this ribosomal RNA (2923 nucleotides) under Staphylococcus aureus. Its description in RNAcentral is "23S ribosomal RNA". It matches the Rfam family "Bacterial large subunit ribosomal RNA". Lineage: Bacteria; Bacillati; Bacillota; Bacilli; Caryophanales; Staphylococcaceae. The record is from RNAcentral.